This 254-nucleotide ribosomal RNA is filed under the name uncultured bacterium. RNAcentral's name for it is "partial 16S ribosomal RNA". It matches the Rfam family "Bacterial small subunit ribosomal RNA", at positions 524 to 776 of the family's 1533-position model. The record is from RNAcentral.
UACGUAGGGUGCGAGCGUUAAUCGGAAUUACUGGGCGUAAAGCGUGCGCAGGCGGUUCGUUGUGUCGGUGGUGAAAGCCCCGGGCUUAACCUGGGAAUGGCCAUGGAAACUGGCGAACUGGAGUGUGGCAGAGGGGGGGUGGAAUUCCGCGUGUAGCAGUGAAAUGCGUAGAGAUGCGGAGGAACACCGAUGGCGAAGGCGGCAUCCUGGACCGGCAUUGACGCUGAGGCGCGAAAGCCAGGGGAGCAAACGGG